AGGUUCUUAAAGAGGUAGGCAAGAAGGUAGAGGAGGAUUCGGAGCUGUGAGGGUGGCACAAGAGGGUUUUGCUGGGGGAGGAAGGGGUCAGGAGACACAGGAACGCAGGCAACCUCCAGAAGCUACAAAAGACAGGGAGAUGCUCACCCAAACGCCUCUGGAAGAAGCAUCCAGGCAGACACCCUGAUUUCUGGCCAGCGAGACUGAUUUCAGACUUCUGGCCUCCUGAACUCCGGAUUGGCAGCUCUGUGGAGGCACCCUGGUGGGUUCAAGGAAGUAUCAUCUGCUUGUGAGGCUUGAACAGGACCUUUAAAAGAGAAAAAGGAAUAUGAAGUCAACUAAGAGAAUACACCCAGCAAAUGAGAAGUAGACCUGGCCAGCAGCAGCUUGCAUGCUAUCUGAAACACACUUGCUGGGGAAGGGAGGCCCGCGAUAUCGGGACUGGCUGGGCUGCUAUCGCUUGUGGACACAUCUGCCCGCAGCGCUCACUCCUCCCUCACCGCUGGCACCUGGAGCAGGGAGAUGGCUGCAGCCACGGAAUCUGGAGAGGCACAGCUGUAGUGUGGCACAGCAGAGGGUGACUCCCCACCCCUACAGAUGGCCGGGAUGAUGCCUCUGGGGUGACAAGUGUCCCCACCCUCACCCCAAACACACACAGGGCCCUGCAGCCUAUUUCUUCCCUCCUCCUGUGUCGUAUUCUCCCUGCUCUUUUGUCAACAAUGAGAAGAGAGGCUUGGAGACUGCACACAGUUAUGUGAGUCACUUACAGCCUCGAGCCUUCAGUCAGAGGUCAGGGUUAAACCAGAAAGGGGACAGCUCUGGGGAGGACUGACCACACUUGCUCUGGUCCAGGCAGGGUGUGUGUGGAGCCAGACAACCUCCCUCCCUGCCUACUGUACCUCAGUUUCCCUACCUGAACCAUCUUCCUAAAAACAAUGUGCUGCUCUCAAGGUAGGAAAUUUGGAAAAGCCUAAAUAAUGUAAAAGGAAAAAUUCACCCACAAUUCUCCCACUAACAUCUUGCUGUUUUCGUAUAUCUUUUACAUAACCAAAUCAGGUUGCUUACACAC
RNAcentral lists this long non-coding RNA (1069 nucleotides) under Equus caballus (horse). Its description in RNAcentral is "lncRNA (ENSECAG00000054809.1)". Lineage: Eukaryota; Metazoa; Chordata; Mammalia; Perissodactyla; Equidae. The record is from RNAcentral.